GGAGUUGGCAGAGCGGUCUAAUGCAGCUGAUUUAUAAUCAGCCGAACUCUAACGGGUUCCAUGGGUUCGAAUCCCAUACUCUCCG
Molecule: non-coding RNA, 85 nt
Organism: Winogradskyella jejuensis
Lineage: Bacteria; Pseudomonadati; Bacteroidota; Flavobacteriia; Flavobacteriales; Flavobacteriaceae
Source: Rfam